GGUUUGACCCGAUUAGGUUAAGAGUUGGCCUAAUCGUCGAGAUGGUUUGCUUUCUGAUUUGAUCAUGGGUUGGGCUUAAUCAAUUUUUGAUUUGAUUAAGAUUUUAUUGAGCCUAAUUAAGCCUAAUUAAGUUAGGUUUAAAUUAGUCUAAUUGGGCCUAACUUAUUUGGUUCAAUUAGGUUGGUUUAAAUAAUGAAACCACCUUGACCC
RNAcentral lists this long non-coding RNA (210 nucleotides) under Elaeis guineensis (African oil palm). RNAcentral's name for it is "long non-coding RNA (EGUI_LNC022165)". The record is from RNAcentral. Lineage: Eukaryota; Viridiplantae; Streptophyta; Magnoliopsida; Arecales; Arecaceae.